CUACGGGUCGCUCCAGUGAGGAAUUUUGCGCAAUGGGGGAAACCCUGACGCAGCAACGCCGCGUGAGCGAAGAAGGCCCUCGGGUCGUAAAGCUCUGUCAAGUGGGAAAAAAAUUUUUUGAUCAAUAGUCAAAAGACUUGAUGGUACCACUGGAGGAAGCACCGGCUAACUCCGUGCCAGCAGCCGCGGUAAUACGGAGGGUGCGAGCGUUGUUCGGAUUUACUGGGCGUAAAGAGCGUGUAGGCGGUUUAGCAAGUCAGAUGUGAAAGCCCUGGGCUCAACCCGGGAAGUGCAUUUGAAACUGCUUCACUAGAGUAUGGGAGAGGAGAUUGGAAUUCCUGGUGUAGAGGUGAAAUUCGUAGAUAUCAGGAGGAACACCCGUGGCGAAGGCGAUUCUCUGGACCAAUACUGACGCUGAGACGCGAAAGCGUGGGGAGCAAACAGGAUUAGAUACCCCAGUAGUC
This 464-nucleotide ribosomal RNA is filed under the name uncultured bacterium. RNAcentral's name for it is "partial 16S ribosomal RNA". It matches the Rfam family "Bacterial small subunit ribosomal RNA", at positions 339 to 795 of the family's 1533-position model. The record is from RNAcentral.